This is a non-coding RNA of Procambarus clarkii (red swamp crayfish), 740 nucleotides long. NCBI's taxonomy places the organism in Eukaryota, Metazoa, Arthropoda, Malacostraca, Decapoda, Cambaridae. The record is from RefSeq and is a predicted model, not a curated record.
UCUUUAUAGUUUGCCUUUCAAUUGCAUCCAUAUCAUCAUUUUAUUUAUCUAACACCAUGUAAAUUUUUGUUUUAUGUAAAAUUUAGCAGUGCAUCAGAAUUCUUCAUAUAAAACAUUUUUUGAUACCCCAUUACCCAUUGUUUAAUAUUAUAGUGGUUACAGACAAUAAAUAAUUAUUUCUGAAUUAUCAUUGCAGAGGUAUCAGAAACCCCUAUUAUUCUGAUAGUAUCUUCAGCAAAGAUGAAGAUGUUCAAGCUCAUGUUGGUACUAUUCAGAGCUUGAAAACUAAGAGUAAGCACACGUGUGGAGUGUCUACAUGGAAAGCUGCUCAAAAUAAGCUUCUUUCAUUCCAAAGUUUGGAUGAAACAGGAAUCAGCAUGGCCUCCUGUCGACAUGGUAUUAUCCUUAACACCUUGAAUAUGUAUCAAGGAGAGCUGUACAGUUAUGCCCACUAUUUGCAAAUUAUGUAUUUCAAAUACGUAAAGUUUAUUUGUCAAGACAUAAUUUGCAAAUAUUGGCCAUGGCCUUAACUGUGGCUCAGAAACAAUCACAUUUUCACAUUGGUCAAGCAAAGCCAUUUUUAGGAGUCCUACAUGCAAAAGGACAUGCUUGGUAUUGUCAGGUAUUGUAUGGAGGGCGGUGGGAAGAAGGAAGUGGCAUGACUUUAGGGGAAGAGGCAGAGCAAGUGUUUGCAUACCUCUCACGAUACAACUCUACAACUAAAAACAUGCUGAAAGCUG